RNAcentral lists this ribosomal RNA (254 nucleotides) under uncultured bacterium. RNAcentral describes it as "partial 16S ribosomal RNA". It matches the Rfam family "Bacterial small subunit ribosomal RNA", at positions 524 to 776 of the family's 1533-position model. The record is from RNAcentral.
UACGAAGGGGGCUAGCGUUGCUCGGAAUCACUGGGCGUAAAGCGCACGUAGGCGGGUCUUUAAGUCAGGGGUGAAAUCCCGGAGCUCAACUCCGGAACUGCCUUUGAUACUGAGGAUCUUGAGUUCGAGAGAGGCUGAGUGGAACUGCGAGUGUAGAGGUGAAAUUCGUAGAUAUUCGCAAGAACACCAGUGGCGAAGGCGGCUCACUGGCUCGAUACUGACGCUGAGGUGCGAAAGCGUGGGGAGCAAACAGG